Molecule: long non-coding RNA, 485 nt
Organism: Drosophila obscura
Lineage: Eukaryota; Metazoa; Arthropoda; Insecta; Diptera; Drosophilidae
Exons: 2
Source: RefSeq, a predicted model, not a curated record
ACAAAAACAAGGAUAUAAGGAUCUGCAACGCGUUGUGUUUCAUGUGCAAAAUAUACUACAAUACUAAACAUAUAUAAAUAUAUAUAUAUUUUUGGAAAAAAUUACUAAAAUAAUCUUGUGAAUCGUGUAUAAAAUAUUAGAAAUAUUAUGAGCAGCAAAAUAAGCAAAACAGAAAACAAAACAAAUAUAAUACAUCAGAUAUAAUAAUAACUAUAUACAUCAGAUACGCGAUCAUCAAAUAUACAUAUACAUAUAUAUAUUCUUAUACAUAUUAAUCAACGAUUUUCAAUCAAUCAAUCCAUCAAUCAAGCCAACAAUCAAUCGAGCAUACAUGCAUACAUCUCUAUUUAUAAAUAAAAAUACUUCGAAAAAAACACAAAAACAUACUCAGAAGCUGCUGCGGAGUGGUCGUAUAAACCAUCAAGUAUUAUUAGCACCUAAAAACAAAAACAAAAAAACCAACUUAGACUCGGAAAUCAGCCUCC